This 650-nucleotide ribosomal RNA is filed under the name uncultured bacterium. RNAcentral's name for it is "bacterial SSU rRNA". It matches the Rfam family "Bacterial small subunit ribosomal RNA", at positions 42 to 682 of the family's 1533-position model. The record is from RNAcentral.
UCAGGCCUAACACAUGCAAGUCGAACGGUAACAGGAAGAAGCUUGCUUCUUUGCUGACGAGUGGCGGACGGGUGAGUAAUGUCUGGGAAACCGCCUGAUGGAGGGGGAUAACUACUGGAAACGGUAGCUAAUACCGCAUAACGUCGCAAGACCAAAGAGGGGGACCUUCGGGCCUCUUGCCAUCGGAUGUGCCCAGAUGGGAUUAGCUAGUAGGUGGGGUAACGGCUCACCUAGGCGACGAUCCCUAGCUGGUCUGAGAGGAUGACCAGCCACACUGGAACUGAGACACGGUCCAGACUCCUACGGGAGGCAGCAGUGGGGAAUAUUGCACAAUGGGCGCAAGCCUGAUGCAGCCAUGCCGCGUGUAUGAAGAAGGCCUUCGGGUUGUAAAGACUUUCAGCGGGGAGGAAGGGAGUAAAGUUAAUACCUUUGCUCAUUGACGUUACCCGCAGAAGAAGCACCGGCUAACUCCGUGCCAGCAGCCGCGGUAAUACGGAGGGUGCAAGCGUUAAUCGGAAUUACUGGGCGUAAAGCGCACGCAGGCGGUUUGUUAAGUCAGAUGUGAAAUCCCCGGGCUCAACCUGGGAACUGCAUCUGAUACUGGCAAGCUUGAGUCUCGUAGAGGGGGGUAGAAUUCCAGGUGUAGCGGU